UGGGGAAUAUUGCACAAUGGAGGGAACUCUGAUGCAGCGACGCCGCGUGAACGAAGAAGGCUUUCGAGUCGUAAAGUUCUUUUAUAUGGGAAGAUAAUGACGGUACCAUAAGAAAAAGCCCCGGCUAACUACGUGCCAGCAGCCGCGGUAAUACGUAGGGGGCUAGCGUUGUCCGGAUUCACUGGGCGUAAAGGGUUCGCAGGCGGAAAUGCAAGUCAGGUGUAAAAGGCAGUAGCUUAACUACUGUAAGCAUUUGAAACUGCAUAUCUUGAGAAGAGUAGAGGUAAGUGGAAUUUUUAGUGUAGCGGUGAAAUGCGUAGAUAUUAAAAGGAAUACCGGUGGCGAAGGCGACUUACUGGGCUCAUUCUGACGCUGAGGAACGAAAGCGUGGGUAGCAAACAGG
Molecule: ribosomal RNA, 403 nt
Filed under: bacterium
Lineage: Bacteria
Description: partial 16S ribosomal RNA
Rfam family: Bacterial small subunit ribosomal RNA
Source: RNAcentral